ACCGGCAAACGGGUGCGGAACACGUACACAACCUUCCUAUAAGUGGGGAAUAGCCCAGAGAAAUUUGGAUUAAUACCCCGUAACAUAUCGAUGUGGCAUCACAUUGUUAUUAUAGCUUCGGCGCUUAUUGAUGGGUGUGCGGCUGGUUAGAUAGUUGGCGGGGUAACGGCCCACCAAGUCUACGAUCAGUAGCUGAUGUGAGAGCAUGAUCAGCCACACGGGCACUGAGACACGGGCCCGACUCCUACGGGAGGCAGCAGUAAGGAAUAUUGGUCAAUGGACGCAAGUCUGAACCAGCCAUGCCGCGUGAAGGAUUAAGGUCCUCUGGAUUGUAAACUUCUUUUAUCUGGGACGAAAAAAGGCUUUUCUAAGUCACUUGACGGUACCAGAUGAAUAAGCACCGGCUAACUCCGUGCCAGCAGCCGCGGUAAUACGGAGGGUGCAAGCGUUAUCCGGAUUCACUGGGUUUAAAGGGUGCGUAGGCGGGCAGGUAAGUCAGUGGUGAAAUCCUGGAGCUUAACUCCAGAACUGCCAUUGAUACUAUCUGUCUUGAAUAUUGUGGAGGUAAGCGGAAUAUGUCAUGUAGCGGUGAAAUGCUUAGAUAUGACAUAGAACACCUAUUGCGAAGGCAGCUUACUACGCAUAUAUUGACGCUGAGGCACGAAAGCGUGGGGAUCAAACAGGAUUAGAUACCCUGGUAGUCCACGCCCUAAACGAUGGAUACUCGACAUACGCG
Molecule: ribosomal RNA, 736 nt
Filed under: uncultured Chitinophagaceae bacterium
Lineage: Bacteria; Pseudomonadati; Bacteroidota; Chitinophagia; Chitinophagales; Chitinophagaceae
Description: bacterial SSU rRNA
Rfam family: Bacterial small subunit ribosomal RNA
Source: RNAcentral